CCUACGGGUGGCAGCAGUGAGGAAUAUUGGUCAAUGGGCGGAAGCCUGAACCAGCCAAGUCGCGUGAGGGAAUAAGGUCCUACGGAUUGUAAACCUCUUUUGCCGGGGAGCAAAAAGCGGUACGUGUACCGCAUCGAGAAGUCCCGGGGGAAAAAGAUCGGCUAACUCCGUGCCAACAGCCGCGGUAAUACGGAGGAUGCGAGCGGUAUCCGGAUUUAUUGGGUUUAAAGGGUGCGUAGGCGGGGUGUUAAGUCAGCGGUAAAAGUUCGGGGCUCAACCCCGUCGAGCCGUUGAAACUGGGGUGCUAGAGUGGGCGAGAAGAAUGCGGAAUGCGUGGUGUAGCGGUGAAAUGCAUAGAUAUCACGCAGAACCCCGAUUGCGAAGGCAGCAUACCGGCGCCCAACUGACGCUCAGGCACGAAAGCGCGGGUAUCGAACAGGAUUAGAUACCCUGGUAGUC
Molecule: ribosomal RNA, 459 nt
Filed under: uncultured bacterium
Lineage: Bacteria
Description: partial 16S ribosomal RNA
Rfam family: Bacterial small subunit ribosomal RNA
Source: RNAcentral